This is a long non-coding RNA of Gallus gallus (chicken), 1575 nucleotides long. Lineage: Eukaryota; Metazoa; Chordata; Aves; Galliformes; Phasianidae. The record is from Ensembl.
UUUACUAUUGCUGAUGUACCAGUGGCCCCUUUGGACACCCCCACCACUAACCAAACUCUGGAGGACGUGUGUGAGGUCAGGCUGGGAAGCUGUGGCAGUGCAGGGCCUGCGAUGCAGAGCUGUGAGGCUCAGUGCCCCACGUCGUGCUAUGUGGGGAUGUGAUGCUGUAGGGCACCGUCAGCCUGACCGGUGUCUGCCUCAUUUCCUGCAUCCCAAGCAUUGUGCUGGCCUGCCAGCCUCUCUACUCUGGGGACCAGAUGAACCAACCCUGCAAGCUUGUUCUGGCCAUCUGGAUGCCAGCUGGUGCUCAGGGAAAUGGAUGUGCUCAUUGGGAACCCUGAAUGCUAUGUUCAACGGUGCUGGUGGCAAGAGUUCCUUCUACAAAUCGGCAAGGCCCACGUGUGGACAAAAGGAACCACCUCCAUGGAAGGGUCAGAGGAACAAAGGAAGGAGUGAAUGGAGGUCAGCUGGCACCAGGGUAUGCUCGGAUCCAUCGUGCCUUAGGAACGGCUCCCAGCCCACUUCUGACAUUUAUCUCACAGAACAGCCACAUUAAAAAUAAACACAGCUUGCACCAGCAUCCCCAGCCGCUGCACGGGGCCCUGCCAGGAGAACACAGCAAGCUGCAGCCAGCAGAGUGAGCUUGGAAAGGAGAAAGGGCUUGGGGACUUCAUUUUGUCACCAAACAUACUGCGAUGUAAUAUUCAGAGCAUUUGGAUUUGAUAUUUCUGCCUCGUGUUGGUAUAUUCCCUACAAGAGACAGCAGAACGCAGGGGGCAAUCGCGACCAAGUUGGUUUGGAAUCAGCAGUUCUUGGUUUGUGCAUUUCAAACUGCACUCACACACGGGUGGGCACACUGCACAUGCCUGAUGUGCUUUUCUCAUCUCUAAACUCGUGACGAAUCCUUCCCCUGUCUUCAGCUUCUUCUGAUGGGAUUGAAUAAAGCCAUGUGAAACACUCCCCCGUCUGUGAGCAGACCCCCAGCACCCGGCUGCCAUGCAUGCUUAGGAGGGGGUCACCAAUACACCCCCAGUGCCAAAUGUUUCGGAACACAACGUAACACACUGAAAUCUCUGCUGAGCUGUUGUGGCUCAAGCACAGUGCUGAGGGAGUGCUGCCCUGCAUCCCCCAGGUGGGGACACCGCACCGACCGUCGUGCUGCCCCAGCUGUGGGUCACGGCUGCAGUGAAGUUGUUGGACAAAGGCACAUGGAAGUGGGUGAGUGUGGGCAUGAGAAAGUAGGAAAAGUAUCUUUUUUUCCCGUGCUGUUUCAGUACAUGCUGAGGAAAUCGAGUGAGAGGCAGAGAUUGCCAGCUCUUAACUGCUAAAGAUAUUUGCAAGAGUCAUUUCCGCAAAUGUCUCCCAUUCCAUAUAUAGAUCCAUAGAGUCUGUGCUUCUAAUGGACUGACAAAUGUACCAUAACCCCGGAUGACUGUUGCUUCAUUGCUUGGCUAUACAGAUAAGAGGAAUGCUUCCUUUUGAUUGAGAUCUUAAAUCAAUUGUUCCCUUACCCAACGUCUCGUGGUUAUUAUCCAAGGAGAAGAUAAAGUUCAGGUGGUAAAUUGUUAAUAUUGU